UCGUGCCUCAAGAUUUAACAACAACAAUCUCUAUAACCACGAUAUUUCUUCUUCCAUUUGUUAGAUGCAAUAUAAUGUCAGUUACCUUUAUCAAUGUAUUGUACGUGUCGAGUUGUUGUAUACAAAUCGUUCUACUGGUUGACCGCAGAAUGAAAUUCCUGACGGGUGAUGGAAUGAAAAAUGCAAUAUUUUUUCAAAAACCCUCCUAUCAUAUACGCACAUAUACAUACAAACACACAGACACACGCAUUAACAUACACGCACGUGCACGCACGUAUACGCACACAUACAUGCGUAUAUACGAAUACGAGAAGAAACGAAUAGCCUUGUCAUGAUGAACAGUGAUAACGAGACGAACGUGCUUCGACAAGUUUUCCCUUCGACAGUAUUCAAUGUGACUUCGAAAAGGUAACAUCUCUACGUGCCAUCGUCCUCCAGUCUUAAAUCAUCAAAUCGUAGAAGAAAAUUACAAGAGAAUUAAAAAAGCAAAAAGGAAAAAGAAAAAGUAAAACAUCCGAAUAAAAGAUCCAUUAUAUUUCUCGAUUUUUAUAUUUAUUAAUAUAACUUAGAUGACUUUUAAAUUAUUUCAUGUAUUUAAUAUUAUACUUUAUAAUAGUACAUCGAAAUUAUGAAUAUUGUAAAUAUGGAUAUAUCGAAUGUGGAGCAUCGUAUAACUAAUAUAUAUAUAUAUAUUUAAUAUUUAUUUAUUUUAGUAUAUAUCUAGUAUGUUAUAAUAUCUGUGAAUCUAUUUUAAUGUAGACUCGUUUCGAUUGUUUGAUAAUUAUUAUUUAUUUAUUUAAUAUAUAUAUAUAUAUAUAUAUAUAUAUAUUUAUAUAAAAUAUAUUCUCGUAUUUAAAUCUACACGUUUUGAAGUAGCGGAGAUUUUACGAUCAGAUUUUGGUUCCUUCCUUCCUUCCUUCCUUCCUUCCUUCCUUCCUUCCUUCCUGUCCCUUCAGGUUUCACCUAUCUCAUGGCCAUUCGUUCAUUCCUGACGUUACAGUUUAUGGUAUCGUCUUUACGAUGCUUCCACCUGGGUUACAUAUCCAAGGCACCUUCCAACUUCCAUCGGGUAUUAAAUCAAUGUCUCUGAUAUUAUACAGGUACAAGAUAUUCUACGAAAGGAACGUCACCUCAUGGCCAUUCGUAUUACGUAGUUAAGACGACGUAGAAAUGUUUCUAUGGAUGGACCAAAAGUUUUUCAUUCUUCAAAUGAUUUUUUACAAUUUGAGAUAAGAUAAGAAAACAAAUUAAUAGAAACAUGACAGAGAGAAAAAACAACGACGAUUACGACAAUGACAACAACAACGACAACCAACGACGACGACGAAUUCGUUUCAAAAAAAAAAAAAAAGAAAAAAAAAAAAAAAGAAAAACAUCUUUUAUUCCUAUCUUAUAUGUCAUUACGUUUUGUUUAUUUGUAUUUUAAUAUAUCGUAUUGUAGAAUUAGAUUGAAUUGUAUCGAUUUUUUGGAAUCAUUUACACGUUUUAACGUUUAUCCUUAAACUCGUUAAUAUGUUGUAACCAUUUUUAUCUCUGUUUACAAUUGAAAUAUUCUUUUUUGCGAUAUAUCAAUAAACAAAACGACGAGAAGUUUAGUAACGAUAGGACAUAGUUACGCAAGUGCUCACGUUGUUUCUCUAUAUUCACAUGAAUAUAUUUUCCAAAAUAUAUAGAUACUAUGCCGGAUAAUACGCAUUGAAAAUCAGUCAUAUAAACAUACAUGUAUAUAUCUACGCACACAUACACACACACACACACACACACACACACACACACAUAUAUAUAUAUAUAUAUAUAC
Molecule: long non-coding RNA, 1798 nt
Organism: Vespa velutina
Lineage: Eukaryota; Metazoa; Arthropoda; Insecta; Hymenoptera; Vespidae
Exons: 3
Source: RefSeq, a predicted model, not a curated record